This 250-nucleotide ribosomal RNA is filed under the name uncultured bacterium. RNAcentral describes it as "partial 16S ribosomal RNA". It matches the Rfam family "Bacterial small subunit ribosomal RNA", at positions 87 to 339 of the family's 1533-position model. The record is from RNAcentral.
CUUGAUUAGUGGCGCACGGGUGAGUAUACCAUAGAUAAUGUACCUCUUAGUUCGGGAUAGCCACUGGAAACGGUGAUUAAUACCGGAUACUCCUUCUCAUUAUAAGAUGAGUCGGGAAAGUUUUUUCGCUAAGAGAUCAGUCUAUGUCCUAUCAGCUAGUUGGUGAGGUAAUGGCUCACCAAGGCUAUGACGGGUAUCUGGUUUGAGAGGAUGAUCAGACACACUGGAACUGAGACACGGUCCAGACUCC